This 556-nucleotide long non-coding RNA is filed under the name Malus domestica (apple). RNAcentral's name for it is "long non-coding RNA (MDOM_LNC001037)". The record is from RNAcentral. Lineage: Eukaryota; Viridiplantae; Streptophyta; Magnoliopsida; Rosales; Rosaceae.
AGUUGAAGCUUUGUAGGUGAAGCUUUGGAGUUGAAGCUUUUGUUGGUGAAACUUUUGUUGGUGAAGCUUUUGUUGGGUACCAUGAAUUGAUUUUGCUUCACACUAUCUUGAUUAAGAUAGUGUGAAGCUUUUGAGAAUUUGUUGUUGUCUUCCAUUGAUGAAGCUUUUGUUGGUGAAGCUUUGGAGUUGAAGCUUUUGUUGAGUACCAUGAAUUGAUUUUGCUUCACACUAUCUUGAUCAAGAUAGUGUGAAGCUUUUGAGAAUUUGUUGUUGUCCUCCAUUGAUGAAGAUUUUGUUGGUGAAGCUUUGGACUUGAAGCUUUGUAGGUAAAGCUUUGGAGUUGAAGCUUUUGUUGGGUACCAUGAAUUGAUUUUGCUUCACACUAUCAUGAUCAAGAUAGUGUGAAACUUUUGAGAAUUGUGGUUUCCCUCCAUUGAUGAAGUUCUUGUUGGCACCAUAAAUUUGUUUUGCUUCACAUUGUCUUUAUCAAGAGUGUGUGAAGCUUUUGAGAAUUGUGGUUGAACUCCUUUGAUGAAGCUCUUGUUGGCACCAUAAA